RNAcentral lists this long non-coding RNA (427 nucleotides) under Capra hircus (goat). Its description in RNAcentral is "lncRNA (ENSCHIG00010022851.1)". The record is from RNAcentral. Lineage: Eukaryota; Metazoa; Chordata; Mammalia; Artiodactyla; Bovidae.
CACUUAGCAGCUGUGGGAUCUUGGCAAAACCUGUCUUACCUGGGUUAAAAGUGGGCAGUUUUUAAAAGUAGGAUAUUUUCUUAGAAAGGGUUUAGGAAAUCUUCAUGUAACUCACUAUAAAUUUUAACAGUAUCUCUGAGAGCCUUCCACAGAAGUGUGUGGAUAGUUUAUCUGGAGCUGCUGGUCAAAGAGGAAAAAAAGACAUUAAAUGGACAAGUAGAAGGAUGGUGUCACGUCAGCCAAAACCAGAGAACUGGAAAGAAGGAGAGAGCAGGGGCCAUGAUGGGGAGAUCAAGGAAUCUACAGCCUGAUACAGUGUCCACUGGAAAGUUUCCAACUUCUGAUGCAGUUUCCAUUUGGAUGGAAGUGUCUCCAAAGUGAAGGUAGAGUGAAGAAUGUGUUAGCUUGUUGAAAAUUAGGGAUGCAA